RNAcentral lists this ribosomal RNA (465 nucleotides) under Vreelandella stevensii. RNAcentral's name for it is "partial 16S ribosomal RNA". It matches the Rfam family "Bacterial small subunit ribosomal RNA", at positions 338 to 795 of the family's 1533-position model. Lineage: Bacteria; Pseudomonadati; Pseudomonadota; Gammaproteobacteria; Oceanospirillales; Halomonadaceae. The record is from RNAcentral.
CCUACGGGUGGCUGCAGUGGGGAAUAUUGGACAAUGGGGGGAACCCUGAACCAGCCAUGCCGCGUGUGUGAAGAAGGCCCUCGGGUUGUAAAGCACUUUCAGUGAGGAAGAACGCCUGGUGGUUAAUACCCAUCAGGAAAGACAUCACUCACAGAAGAAGCACCGGCUAACUCCGUGCCAGCAGCCGCGGUAAUACGGAGGGUGCGAGCGUUAAUCGGAAUUACUGGGCGUAAAGCGCGCGUAGGUGGCUUGAUAAGCCGGUUGUGAAAGCCCCGGGCUCAACCUGGGAACGGCAUCCGGAACUGUCAAGCUAGAGUGCAGGAGAGGAAGGUAGAAUUCCCGGUGUAGCGGUGAAAUGCGUAGAGAUCGGGAGGAAUACCAGUGGCGAAGGCGGCCUUCUGGACUGACACUGACACUGAGGUGCGAAAGCGUGGGUAGCAAACAGGAUUAGAUACCCGUGUAGUC